This 497-nucleotide ribosomal RNA is filed under the name uncultured bacterium. RNAcentral's name for it is "partial 16S ribosomal RNA". It matches the Rfam family "Bacterial small subunit ribosomal RNA", at positions 28 to 507 of the family's 1533-position model. The record is from RNAcentral.
GAUGAACGCUGGCGGCGUGCCUAAUACAUGCAAGUCGAGCGAACAGACGAGGAGUUUGCUCCUCUGACGUUAGCGGCGGACGUGUGAGUAACAUGUGGAUAACCUACCUAUAAGACUGGAAUAACUUCGGGAAACCGUUGCUAAUACCUGCUAAUAUAUUGAACCGGAUGGUUAAAUAGUGAACUACGGCUUUGCUGUCACUUAUAGAUGGAUCCGCGCCUCAUUAGCUAGUUGGUAAGGUAACGGCUUACCAAGGCAACGAUGCGUAGCCGACCUGAGAGGGUGAUCGGCCACACUGGAACUGAGACACGGUCCAGACUCCUACGGGAGGCAGCAGUAGGGAAUCUUCCGCAAUGGGCGAAAGCUUGACGGAGCAACGCCGCGUGAGUGAUGAAGGUCUUCGGAUCGUAAAACUCUGUUAUUAGGGAAGAACAAAUGUGUAAGUAACUAUGCACGUCUUGACGGUACCUAAUCAGAAAGCCACGGCUAACUACGUG